RNAcentral lists this ribosomal RNA (253 nucleotides) under uncultured bacterium. RNAcentral's name for it is "partial 16S ribosomal RNA". It matches the Rfam family "Bacterial small subunit ribosomal RNA", at positions 524 to 776 of the family's 1533-position model. The record is from RNAcentral.
UACGUAGGGUGCAGGCGUUAAUCGGAAUUACUGGGCGUAAAGCGUGCGCAGGCGGUUUGCUAAGACAGGUGUGAAAUCCCCGGGCUUAACCUGGGAACUGCGCUUGUAACUGGCAAGCUAGAGUGUGGCAGAGGGGGGUGGAAUUCCACGUGUAGCAGUGAAAUGCGUAGAGAUGUGGAGGAACACCGAUGGCGAAGGCGGCCUUCUGGUCCAGUACUGACACUCUAGUGCGAAAGCGUGGGGAGCAAACAGG